GGCGAGAUAGCCAAGCGGUCUAAGGCGCUAGACUAAGGCAGUGGGAUUCGAACCCACAUAUACAUGCCAUCUAGUUCUUCGGAGCGUGGGUUCGAAUCCCACUCUCGUCA
This is a non-coding RNA of Ceratobasidium sp. AG-Ba, 110 nucleotides long. Lineage: Eukaryota; Fungi; Basidiomycota; Agaricomycetes; Cantharellales; Ceratobasidiaceae. The record is from the annotation of a GenBank genome assembly.